GAAAUCGAGGUGGGGGAAAAGGAGAAGACGGUAAUAGACAUUAAUGAAGGAGAAGAACUAUUAUAUAAUUACGGACUAAAGUCUUAUCCAUGGAAUUCUCAGGACCAAUAUGAGAUAAAUAGUGACUAUUUAUCUGGAGUUAAGCACAAUGAGCCAAAAUUAUCCAGUUUAGCAAGAAAUGGCAGUUUAUUAGAAGGAAUGAACUUCCUACUAGUUGGAUUUACUUCAACUUAGAGGUUAAGGAUUUGAUUACUAUUCAGUCCCAGGAGAUGCCAAUUAGCAGUGAGUCCAUCAUCAUCAUUCCAGAUGGAACAAAUGCGGAAGUUAAGGCAUGUCUCUUGCAAGUCCAAAAACUGAGACAUUUACCAGUCCAGGUCGCGGAGUCGUUUCUCGCCUAUGACAGCAGCAUUCAUUGAAAAGGGAACACGGACUAUCGUACCAAAAUACAGACCGAGAAAAAAUGAAGAAAAAAGUACCUGCCAUGUGCACACUGUUUGGCUGUUGUUGUAGCUACAGACUUAUGGAAGCACCAAAAGUCAUGUCCAGCAAACAAAUCUCAACAAAAUUUAAAAUAUCCUGUAUGUGAAGGACGUGUGCUGUUACCCUGUGACUCUGAAUUUCAAAAAAACUACAUCAAAUUGUUUAAAAAAGUUCUUGCUAUCUCCUUUGUAUUUUAAUACAUAUCUAACAUGUAAUGAUAAUAAAUUAUCAUAGAAAGGUUAAUUUAUCUUCGUAAAUGCACAGUUUAUACAAAGACCUUAUCUUGUCGAUUAAAGUUUUUAAAGUUGCUUUCAUAAUAAAUUUUUCGAUUAAAUGUUAACAUUAAAAAAUAAUCCUUAUAUUCAUUAUUUGAAGUAAUAAAUAUUAAAUCUAUUUAUCUUAUACAUUACAAACUGAUAUUUAUAUCCCC
This is a long non-coding RNA of Ostrea edulis (European flat oyster), 910 nucleotides long. RefSeq lists it as uncharacterized. The transcript has 5 exons. The record is from RefSeq and is a predicted model, not a curated record. Lineage: Eukaryota; Metazoa; Mollusca; Bivalvia; Ostreida; Ostreidae.